This 209-nucleotide ribosomal RNA is filed under the name uncultured bacterium. RNAcentral describes it as "partial 16S ribosomal RNA". It matches the Rfam family "Bacterial small subunit ribosomal RNA", at positions 326 to 526 of the family's 1533-position model. The record is from RNAcentral.
UCGACGAUUACUCCUACGGGAGGCAGCAGUGGGGAAUUUUGGACAAUGGGGGCAACCCUGAUCCAGCCAUGCCGCGUGAGUGAAGAAGGCCUUCGGGUUGUAAAGCUCUUUCAGACGGAAAGAAACGGUCACGGUUAAUAACCGUGGCUAAUGACGGUACCGUAAGAAGAAGCACCGGCUAACUACGUGCCAGCAGCCGCGGUAAUAAU